GGGGAAUAUUGCACAAUGGGGGAAACCCUGAUGCAGCGACGCCGCGUGAGUGAAGAAGUAUUUCGGUAUGUAAAGCUCUAUCAGCAGGGAAGAAAAUGACGGUACCUGACUAAGAAGCCCCGGCUAACUACGUGCCAGCAGCCGCGGUAAUACGUAGGGGGCAAGCGUUAUCCGGAUUUACUGGGUAUAAAGGGAGCGUAGGUGGUGUGGUAAGUCAGAUGUGAAAGCCCAGGGCUCAACUCUGGGAUUGCAUUUGAAACUAUCAUGCUAGAGUGCAGGAGAGGUAAGUGGAAUUCCUAGUGUAGCGGUGAAAUGCGUAGAUAUUAGGAGGAACACCAGUGGCGAAGGCGGCUUACUGGACUGUAACUGACACUGAGGCUCGAAAGCGUGGGUAGCGAAC
Molecule: ribosomal RNA, 400 nt
Filed under: uncultured bacterium
Lineage: Bacteria
Description: bacterial SSU rRNA
Rfam family: Bacterial small subunit ribosomal RNA
Source: RNAcentral